This 437-nucleotide ribosomal RNA is filed under the name uncultured bacterium. RNAcentral's name for it is "bacterial SSU rRNA". It matches the Rfam family "Bacterial small subunit ribosomal RNA", at positions 957 to 1393 of the family's 1533-position model. The record is from RNAcentral.
UAACGCGAAGAACCUUACCUGGGUUUGACAUAUACGAGAAGCCUCUGGAGACAGAGGUCUCUUUGGACACUUGUAUACAGGUGGUGCAUGGCUGUCGUCAGCUCGUGUCGUGAGAUGUUGGGUUAAGUCCCGCAACGAGCGCAACCCUUGUUCACUGUUGCCAGCACGUUAUGGUGGGGACUCAGUGGAGACCGCCGGGGUCAACUCGGAGGAAGGUGGGGAUGACGUCAAGUCAUCAUGCCCCUUAUGUCCAGGGCUUCACGCAUGCUACAAUGGCUGGUACAGAGAGUGGCGAGCCUGUGAGGGUGAGCGAAUCUCGGAAAGCCGGUCUCAGUUCGGAUUGGGGUCUGCAACUCGACCUCAUGAAGUCGGAGUCGCUAGUAAUCGCAGAUCAGCGACGCUGCGGUGAAUACGUUCCCGGGCCUUGUACACACCGA